This 45-nucleotide non-coding RNA is filed under the name Trichobilharzia regenti. The record is from RNAcentral. Lineage: Eukaryota; Metazoa; Platyhelminthes; Trematoda; Strigeidida; Schistosomatidae.
AUCCAGAUGAUGAGUCCCGAAUAGAACGAAAUGCACAUAUUGGAU